UGCUUGUUAAACCACAUACUGGUUACAGGUGUCUGACUUUCUCAGUCGGCUGAUUCAAACUAGGAUAUCUUCGCAGGUGGGUGUUUCUGCCGUGGAAGACGGAUUUGAUAUGUGAAAAGAAGUUUUCAUAGUUAAGGAUCAUCAGUGCACCUGCGACUCUGGAAAGCUACUGCCAACAGAAGACUGCGGAAAACAAUAAAGAGGUGCAGAAAAACAUCCAAACCAGAAAUACAGGCUCGAGCUACAGAAGUCUGCUCCAGCGCUCCGACUCUGUUGGAAGCAGCUUCUCCAAUGGUGAAAAAGAAGCAGAGAGAAUGAAGGGGCCACUUUGCCACGUCAUCCCCACAAGAGACACGUUCACAGUUGGAUGUUAUAGGCUCCUCUCCUUCUGCGCUGCAUUCUGUUAGCGUACCUGCAACGUGGCCUGUGGUUUCCACCUGCCAUCCACAGUAUGACGCCCCCACCUGGCCACCCGGUGUCUUCACUGACAGGUGAGGACAAAGAUCCCGCGGAGAGCGAGCCUUUGCACGUGGCAUCAGGUUUAACAAGCUGUCACCAGGCUUUAGGGGAUGGAGUAAUGAUGGAGAGUGUGUGUGUGUGUGUGUGUGCGUGAGUGUGUGUGUGUGGGACACUGCAGGAACACAGGAGGCGCCUGGACCUGUUUCCAGUUAAAAGCAGAAGCCCCCACAACAAAGGCCCCGGCCGGGGGAGUCGUAACGAGGAGAAUAUCAUUUUUCUCUGGCCUCUGUGAUCUACCGUUCUUACGUUUCACUUUCAAAGCUCUGCUCGCUGGCAGAAGUCCUCAGCUCCGCAUCUCUGAUGGAAAGAAGGAUCGCUGCCCUCCGCCUCUUCUCACCUCACCUCCCUUCCCUCUCUUCUUACACAAAAAAGAGAAAGAAAGAAAUUAGAAAAAAAUUCCCCACAUGCCCGUCUUACUGGCCAUGGCUGAUAAAAGAAGCAUGGAUGUGUUGGAAGCCAUAUUUCUCUGUCAGCCCGGCUAUAAGGAGUUCCUGCAGUAAUCCCCGACAGGCUAUUUAAGGCCCGUGGCUUCCUGGAAAAGAUCUCUUUAGGAAACCCUUUUCUCGUGCCCACUAGGGGGGAAAUUCUCAUCCUCCAUCCCCUGCCAGCCAUUACCAGCCAUUACCAGAGAUGCGCUGGAACAAGGUGGAUUUAGUACUUUGGGGUCCCUCAACUUAUAAAGAAAUGUAUAAUCGUGAAAGGAAACAAUAA
Molecule: long non-coding RNA, 1230 nt
Organism: Cottoperca gobio
Lineage: Eukaryota; Metazoa; Chordata; Actinopteri; Perciformes; Bovichtidae
Exons: 4
Source: RefSeq, a predicted model, not a curated record